RNAcentral lists this ribosomal RNA (1346 nucleotides) under uncultured bacterium. Its description in RNAcentral is "bacterial SSU rRNA". It matches the Rfam family "Bacterial small subunit ribosomal RNA", at positions 28 to 1381 of the family's 1533-position model. The record is from RNAcentral.
GAUGAACGCUGGCGGCGUGCCUAAUACAUGCAAGUCGAACGCUUCACUUCGGUGAAGAGUGGCGAACGGGUGAGUAAUACAUAAGUAACCUGGCAUCUACAGGGGGAUAACUGAUGGAAACGUCAGCUAAGACCGCAUAGGUGUAGAGAUCGCAUGAACUCUAUAUGAAAAGUGCUACGGGACUGGUAGAUGAUGGACUUAUGGCGCAUUAGCUGGUUGGUAGGGUAACGGCCUACCAAGGCGACGAUGCGUAGCCGACCUGAGAGGGUGACCGGCCACACUGGGACUGAGACACGGCCCAGACUCCUACGGGAGGCAGCAGUAGGGAAUUUUCGGCAAUGGGGGAAACCCUGACCGAGCAACGCCGCGUGAAGGAAGAAGUAAUUCGUUAUGUAAACUUCUGUCAUAGAGGAAGAACGGUGGAUAUAGGGAAUGAUAUCCAAGUGACGGUACUCUAUAAGAAAGCCACGGCUAACUACGUGCCAGCAGCCGCGGUAAUACGUAGGUGGCGAGCGUUAUCCGGAAUUAUUGGGCGUAAAGAGGGAGCAGGCGGCACUAAGGGUCUGUGGUGAAAGAUCGAAGCUUAACUUCGGUAAGCCAUGGAAACCGUAGAGCUAGAGUGUGUGAGAGGAUCGUGGAAUUCCAUGUGUAGCGGUGAAAUGCGUAGAUAUAUGGAGGAACACCAGUGGCGAAGGCGACGAUCUGGCGCAUAACUGACGCUCAGUCCCGAAAGCGUGGGGAGCAAAUAGGAUUAGAUACCCUAGUAGUCCACGCCGUAAACGAUGAGUACUAAGUGUUGGGUGUCAAAGCUCAGUGCUGCAGUUAACGCAAUAAGUACUCCGCCUGAGUAGUACGUUCGCAAGAAUGAAACUCAAAGGAAUUGACGGGGGCCCGCACAAGCGGCGGAGCAUGUGGUUUAAUUCGAAGCAACGCGAAGAACCUUACCAGGUCUUGACAUCGAUCUAAAGGCUCCAGAGAUGGAGAGAUAGCUAUAGAGAAGACAGGUGGUGCAUGGUUGUCGUCAGCUCGUGUCGUGAGAUGUUGGGUUAAGUCCCGCAACGAGCGCAACCCCUGUUGCCAGUUGCCAGCAUUAAGUUGGGGACUCUGGCGAGACUGCCGGUGACAAGCCGGAGGAAGGCGGGGAUGACGUCAAAUCAUCAUGCCCCUUAUGACCUGGGCUACACACGUGCUACAAUGGACAGAGCAGAGGGAAGCGAAGCCGCGAGGUGGAGCGAAACCCAUAAAACUGUUCUCAGUUCGGACUGCAGUCUGCAACUCGACUGCACGAAGAUGGAAUCGCUAGUAAUCGCGAAUCAGCAUGUCGCGGUGAAUACGUUCUCGGGCCU